GACACGCUUAUGAUUUUUCUUUGUGUUUUCUUGAUGAAUUAUUAAUGAGUUUUUUAAAGGAAAUUACAUGCAUGGUCCGAGAAGUAAUAAUGAAAAAUCGCAUGUUGGUGAAAUAUUUCUAAUUUGCCAAGCACAAGUGAUUUUUCAUUAAUACUUCGAGAGCAAAUAUAAUUUCCUGUUAAUAUAAUUUUAUAGUCAAUUUUACACGACCAAUCAAUGACAACUAGAAGACCUAGAAAGAUUGUAUAUUAUUCAAGCAUAGUACACAAUCGCAUCCGUACGCGCCUUUGUCAGUUUUGAGAGUAAUUUCUGACAUUAAUUUUCAAUUCAUACCUGUAAAAACUUUAAAUAAUCUUUAUUUCUGCUUUGUCUUCUUUAUUUGAAAAUAAUAAGUGCUCAGAAAGUAUAAUUUUCACGUUGUUUACUUAGAUUUUGUGUUAUUUAAAUUUCUGGGGCCGGUUGUAUAAAAAAGUGAUUAAAGUGCUUAUGAAACGAAAUUUUCA
Non-coding RNA from Paramuricea clavata, 503 nucleotides. Lineage: Eukaryota; Metazoa; Cnidaria; Anthozoa; Malacalcyonacea; Plexauridae. The record is from the annotation of a GenBank genome assembly.